This is a small nucleolar RNA of Candoia aspera, 138 nucleotides long. RefSeq annotates it as small nucleolar RNA SNORA64/SNORA10 family. The transcript has a single exon. NCBI's taxonomy places the organism in Eukaryota, Metazoa, Chordata, Lepidosauria, Squamata, Candoiidae. The record is from RefSeq and is a predicted model, not a curated record.
ACUCUCUCAGCUCUGCCCAGUUGCACCUGACUCGUGGUGCGACUGUCGUUUUCGAGAGGGAGAGCAAGUGAGUUUGUGUUUGCACGGCAGUGAGCCUGGCUGCAGUGGCGUAUCUGUUCCUUGUCGGACUCGACAGGC